UCGUAGUAUUCAAGGGGCAUUGGAAAUCAAGGGGCUUUUAGCCUUUGACUGACGUCCCUGGAUUUGCGUGCUGGGUCUCAAAAGGUUCAUACCUAAACACGCGGGCCUGGUUCUCCCUUUCCUCUCUCUCACCUAAAAUUUCUCUCUUGUCCCCAAGCAACCAAGAAGGAAAAACCAUGGUAAUUCUCUUGUUAUUUAUUAUUAAUAACGAUCAUUUUCACGAUUCCGUUUCUAUUUUCUCGGAUUAAAUUUCUGUUCUUUUUGUUUUUUGUUUUCUAAAUCUUCUUUGUUUUUAGGUUUUGUUUCCUGGCCAUGUUCUAUGUCUCUUCGUCUGUUUCGUAAAUAGAUCAUUUUAAUUGUGUUGUUCAUAUCACUUCAAUCUGGUCUUGUUUCUUUCUUUAUCAUUUUUAACCAAUUUUUCAGUUUUUUUUUUUCGUUACUUUCCCUGUUUUUCCCGAGAUCCAAACGGCACCUUUGAAAAAAUGGAAAAUUUUUUCGUCGCAAUGUUUUAGAUGGAUGAUCGUCAAAAAUUGUUGCUCCAUUUCUGUUCGUCUCCUAUUUUGUGUGAUUUCUCAGCGUAUAUUGCGGAAGAAAAGGGGAUUUUUUUUUUAUGUUAAUGGGUAAAAUUGUGGGUAGAAAAUCGAAAUUGGAGACAUGAAUCUGUGUAAAUACCAUCUCACACCACACUAUCCUGCAAUUCAACCGCCUGGCGAAGCGAUCGCCAUAGACAUCUCAACCUGUCAUGUUUUCUUGUUCCUAGUUUUAGACAUCACCCCCUAUUAAUCAAAUAGACCUUUUCUUUUUUCUUUUUCUUUUUUUCUUUCUCAAAUGAACCAUGAGGAUGAGAAAAGAAAAAACAAAAAGACCAACUUGUAUUUCACUGAAACCCAUUUUGCAUUUGUUGUCUUCAUAGAAGACUCCAGUUAUCCAUGUGGGAACAGGAUUCCGAAACAAAUGAUGUAGCCUAACCUGUUUUUGGUUCAAAAUGAAGUGCCAUUNNNNNNNNNNNNNNNNNNNNNNNNNNNNNNNNNNNNNNNNNNNNNNNNNNNNNNNNNNNNNNNNNNNNNNNNNNNNNNNNNNNNNNNNNNNNNNNNNNNNUAUAUAUAUAUAUAUAUAUAUAUAUAUAUAUAUAUAUAUAUAAAUAUGUAAAUAGCUUUAGGCUAUGAACUAUUCAUUGAGUAGAUUUGUGCAUACUUUGGGUUAUGAACUUUCAUUAUGUAGAUUUAUACAUAACUUCAGACUAUGAACAUUUAUUUAUUUAUUUUAUAGUUUCUGACUAUAUAAUAUUGUUUGGUAUAACAUCCAGUUAUACCGUAUGAUUAAAAAUAAAUAAUUAGGGAUCAUAUACAUAGCUUCUAAUCAUGUAUCUGUGAUUCUGUAAUUUUUCCCCAUAACUUCUGAUGAUAAGAAUUGCACAUAUUUUUCAUAACUUCUGGUUAUGAAUUAACCCCAUAAUUUAUAAUUUAUACCAUAACUUCUGGUUAUAAAGAUUAUACACAUUUAUGUAUUCAAAAUAAAUUAAAAUAGAAAUCAAAGGGUAAUAACAUAGAAAAUAAUGAUAUAAGUUUAUCACAUACCUUUUUGAGAAAAAUAAAAGAAAAUCUUUCUAUUUUUCUGAAGGGAAUAACAUCUUUCUAUUUCUCUGAAGGGAAGAACGUAUUUCUAUUUCUCUGAAUAGAAGAGUCUCCUUACAUCUUUCUUAUAAAAUUAUAAAGUGAAAGGAGAAGAAAACAAGAAAGAGAAAUCAGAAUGUAGGAAGAAAAUAUAAUUUUUAUUAGAGGUAUCUCUUUUUAUAGAGAGUCACAAAAAGAUAUACAUCAAUAUGAAUGAUCAUCCACAAGUUCACAUAAUCUGAUAAAUUCUCAUAUUUUAUAACAAAAAACUUAUUUUUUAUUUUUAUUUUUAUCUUUAUUUGAUUUAUACAUAUUUUAAAAAUAAAUAGAAAAAUUAAAAUAUUUUUAGUUGAAUUUUAAGAUAAAAUUUGAAAACAGAAAAUAAUAAUAACUUUAAAAUGGGUAGCAAUUUUAAAAAAUAUGAGGUUUUACAAUUUUUAUUUUUUUUUACCAUAUCAUAUUUUAAAAUUUUUAAAAUUAAUUUUUAAAAAUAUAAAACAAGUCUAUAUUUGUUAUAUAAGGUUUUGUUUUUAAUUACAAAAAUUAUUUUUUUAAUUAUAAAAAUUAUUAUUACUUUCUAUCAUUAAAAAUAAAAAACAAAGAAAUGUAUCGUAGUAUUCAAGGGGCAUUGGAAAUCAAGGGGCUUUUAGCCUUUGACUGACGUCCCUGGAUUUGCGUGCUGGGUCUCAAAAGGUUCAUACCUAAACACGCGGGCCUGGUUCUCCCUUUCCUCUCUCUCACCUAAAAUUUCUCUCUUGUCCCCAAGCAGCCAAGAAGGAAAAACCAUGGUAAUUCUCUUGUUAUUUAUUAUUAAUAACGAUCAUUUUCACGAUUCCGUUUCUAUUUUCUCGGAUUAAAUUUCUGUUCUUUUUGUUUUUUGUUUUCUAAAUCUUCUUUGUUUUUAGGUUUUGUUUCCUGGCCAUGUUCUAUGUCUCUUCGUCUGUUUCGUAAAUAGAUCAUUUUAAUUGUGUUGUUCAUAUCACUUCAAUCUGGUCUUAUUUCUUUCUUUAUCAUUUUUAACCAAUUUUUCAGUUUUUUUUUUCGUUACUUUCCCUGUUUUUCCCGAGAUCCAAACGGCACCUUUGAAAAAAAGGAAAAAAAUUUCGUCGCAGUGUUUUAGAUGGAUGAUCGUCAAAAAUUGUUGCUCCAUUUCUGUUCGUCUCCUAUUUUGUGUGAUUUGUCAGCGUAUAUUGCGGAAGAAAAGGGGAUAUUUUUUUUAUGUUAAUGGGUAAAAUUGUGGGUAGAAGAUCGAAAUUGGAGACAUGAAUCUGUGUAAAUACCAUCUCACACCACACUAUCCUGCAAUUCAACCGCCUGGCGAAGCGAUCGCCAUAGACAUCUCAACCUGUCAUGUUUUCUUGUUCCUAGUUUUAGACAUCACCCCCUAUUAAUCAAAUAGACCUUUUCUUUUUUCUUUUUCUUUUUUUCUUUCUCAAAUGAACCAUGAGGAUGAGAAAAGAAAAAACAAAAAGACCAACUUGUAUUUCACUGAAACCCAUUUUGCAUUUGUUGUCUUCAUAGAAGACUCCAGUUAUCCAUGUGGGAACAGGAUUCCGAAACAAAUGAUGUAGCCUAACCUGUUUUUGGUUCAAAAUGAAGUGCCAUUUCUUGUUUGAAAUGGGCAGAGUUGGUCUAUUGGUAGAAUGCCUUAUUCUUUUCUUUGGGAGUUUAGUCUUGGAAUUUCUAUUGGAGGAUUUUUAGUUGAUGCAUUGCAGUGCCUCAUUUUUUUCCGAGAGGGCUUUACAGAAAGAUGAACUCAUGGUUAUUUGAUUUGACAGACCACCUCAAAGCGUCUUGCAGACAGGAAGGUUGCAAAGU
RNAcentral lists this long non-coding RNA (3431 nucleotides) under Vitis vinifera (wine grape). RNAcentral's name for it is "long non-coding RNA (VVIN_LNC007791)". The record is from RNAcentral. Lineage: Eukaryota; Viridiplantae; Streptophyta; Magnoliopsida; Vitales; Vitaceae.